CCAAUAGCGUAUAUUAAAGUUGUUGCAGUUAAAAAGCUCGUAGUUGAAUUUCGGGAUUCGUCCAUUGGUCAGGCUUAACUGUCUGUACUGGUGUGUCGGAUUUCUACCUUCUGAAGAACCUUCAUGCCAUUAAUUUGGUGUGUUGGGGAAUCAGGACUGUUACUUUGAAAAAAUUAGAGUGUUUAAAGCAGGCUAACGUCUGAAUACAUUAGCAUGGAAUAAUGAAAUAGGACGGUACGGUUCUAUUUUGUUGGUUUCUAGGAUCGCCGUAAUGAUUAAUAGGGAUAGUUGGGGGCAUUAGUAUUCAAUUGUCAGAGGUGAAAUUCUUGGAUUUAUUGAAGACUAACUACUGCGAAAGCAUUUGCCAAGGAUGUUUUCAUUAAUCAAGAACGAAAGUUAGGGGAUCGAAGACGAUCAGAUACCGUCGUAGUCUUAACCAUAAACUAUGCCGACUAGGGAUUGGACGAUGUUAAUUUUUUAAUGACUCGUUCAGCACCUUACG
Molecule: ribosomal RNA, 502 nt
Filed under: uncultured Glomeromycotina
Lineage: Eukaryota; Fungi; Glomeromycota
Description: partial small subunit ribosomal RNA
Rfam family: Eukaryotic small subunit ribosomal RNA
Source: RNAcentral